Molecule: long non-coding RNA, 523 nt
Filed under: Pomacea canaliculata
Lineage: Eukaryota; Metazoa; Mollusca; Gastropoda; Architaenioglossa; Ampullariidae
Description: uncharacterized LOC112553302
Source: RNAcentral
CCUACUGGUGAAAUUAUGAUGGACAGUCAGUUAAUGACUGCCUGGGGUUAAGAGAAGAACAUAUAAAAACGGUCGCUGUUAGAAGGAACAUCAUUCUGCUCUCGUCACAAGAACAAGUCCCCGUGCAACUUGGGAAAACCAGCUUUCAACUCAUUCACAAUGAAGGUUGCUGUCCUCCUGUUGCUGUGCGCCGUCGUGGCCAUGAGCUCCGCUUUCAUUAACCCUUACAUAUACAAGUACGGCGGUCUUGGUCUGGGUGGUCUGGGUGGUCUCGGUGGCCUGGGAUUCGGCGGUCUUGGAUUUGGUGGACUGGGUGGACUGGGCUUUGGCGGUCUGGGACUCGGCCUCGGUAGGUUUGGUCUCCUGGGCGGCGGUCUGUACGGAGGCUUUCCUUUCCUUGGAGGCUUCAAGGGCGGCCUGUACUACUAAAUGGCUGUAAACCAUCAGAUUUGACCAUUGUGUCUUCUUCGUGAGUAAUCAGAUGUUGGUCCUUUUUGAAGAAGACAAUAAACUUUAAAAUAUA